This 396-nucleotide ribosomal RNA is filed under the name uncultured bacterium. RNAcentral describes it as "partial 16S ribosomal RNA". It matches the Rfam family "Bacterial small subunit ribosomal RNA", at positions 523 to 917 of the family's 1533-position model. The record is from RNAcentral.
AUACGUAGGGGGCGAGCGUUGUCCGGAAUGAUUGGGCGUAAAGGGCGCGUAGGCGGCCCGGUAAGUCUGGAGUGAAAGUCCUGUUUUUAAGAUGGGAAUUGCUUUGGAUACUGUCGGGCUUGAGUGCAGGAGAGGUAAGUGGAAUUCCCAGUGUAGCGGUGAAAUGCGUAGAGAUUGGGAGGAACACCAGUGGCGAAGGCGACUUACUGGACUGUAACUGACGCUGAGGCGCGAAAGUGUGGGGAGCAAACAGGAUUAGAUACCCUGGUCGUCCACACUGUAAACGAUGAAUGCUAGGUGUAGGGGGUAUCGACCCCUUCUGUGCCGCAGUCAACACAAUAAGCAUUCCGCCUGGGGAGUACGGCCGCAAGGGUGAAACUCAAAGGAAUUGACGGG